GUGGGGAAUAUUGGACAAUGGGCGCAAGCCUGAUCCAGCCAUGCCGCGUGAAUGAUGAAGGCCUUAGGGUUGUAAAGUUCUUUCACCGAUGAAGAUAAUGACGGUAGUCGGAGAAGAAGCCCCGGCUAACUUCGUGCCAGCAGCCGCGGUAAUACGAAGGGGGCUAGCGUUGUUCGGAAUUACUGGGCGUAAAGCGCACGUAGGCGGAUAUUUAAGUCAGGGGUGAAAUCCCAGAGCUCAACUCUGGAACUGCCUUUGAUACUGGGUAUCUUGAGUAUGGAAGAGGUAAGUGGAAUUGCGAGUGUAGAGGUGAAAUUCGUAGAUAUUCGCAGGAACACCAGUGGCGAAGGCGGCUUACUGGUCCAUAACUGACGCUGAGGUGCGAAAGCGUGGGGAGCAAACAGG
RNAcentral lists this ribosomal RNA (405 nucleotides) under uncultured Rhizobiaceae bacterium. Its description in RNAcentral is "bacterial SSU rRNA". It matches the Rfam family "Bacterial small subunit ribosomal RNA", at positions 354 to 776 of the family's 1533-position model. Lineage: Bacteria; Pseudomonadati; Pseudomonadota; Alphaproteobacteria; Hyphomicrobiales; Rhizobiaceae. The record is from RNAcentral.